AUGAACGCUGGCGGCGUGCCUCAUACAUGCAAGUCGAGCGAACAGACGAGGAGCUUGCUCCUCUGACGUUAGCGGCGGACGGGUGAGUAACACGUGGAUAACCUACCUAUAAGACUGGGAUAACUUCGGGAAACCGGAGCUAAUACCGGAUAAUAUAUUGAACCGCCUGGUUCAAUAGUGAAAGACGGUUUUGCUGUCACUUAUAGAUGGAUCCGCGCCGCAUUAGCUAGUUGGUAAGGUAACGGCUUACCAAGGCAACGAUGCGUAGCCGACCUGAGAGGGUGAUCGGCCACACUGGAACUGAGACACGGUCCAGACUCCUACGGGAGGCAGCAGUAGGGAAUCUUCCGCAAUGGGCGAAAGCCUGACGGAGCAACGCCGCGUGAGUGAUGAAGGUCUUCGGAUCGUAAAACUCUGUUAUUAGGGAAGAACAAAUGUGUAAGUAACUAUGCACGUCUUGACGGUACCUAAUCAGAAAGCCACGGCUAACUACGUG
This 496-nucleotide ribosomal RNA is filed under the name uncultured bacterium. RNAcentral describes it as "partial 16S ribosomal RNA". It matches the Rfam family "Bacterial small subunit ribosomal RNA", at positions 29 to 507 of the family's 1533-position model. The record is from RNAcentral.